This 376-nucleotide ribosomal RNA is filed under the name uncultured organism. RNAcentral describes it as "bacterial SSU rRNA". It matches the Rfam family "Bacterial small subunit ribosomal RNA", at positions 524 to 896 of the family's 1533-position model. The record is from RNAcentral.
CAGAGGGUAGCGGAGCGUUGUCCGGAAUCGACUGGGCGUAAAGGGCGCGUAGGUGGCGACCCAAGUCGAUGGUGAAAGCUCGCCGCUCAACGGCGCGUCGGCCACCGAUACUGGGUUGCUCGAGCACUGUAGAGGCUAAUGGAAUUCCGGGUGUAGCGGUGGAAUGCGUAGAGAUCCGGAAGGAACACCGGUGGCGAAGGCGGUUAGCUGGGCAGUUGCUGACACUGAGGCGCGACAGCGUGGGGAGCAAACAGGAUUAGAUACCCUGGUAGUCCACGCCGUAAACGAUGGGCACUAGAUGCUUGGGGGAGCGACCCCCUGAGUGUCGCCGCUAACGCAGUAAGUGCCCCGCCUGGGGAGUACGGCCGCAAGGCUG